UUCUAGCCCUGAUGGAAGCGGCAUCCUCUUGAGGAAGCGAUAGCGGACGCAAGAGAUAGA
This 60-nucleotide unclassified non-coding RNA is filed under the name Flavobacterium glycines. RNAcentral describes it as "Flavo-1 RNA". Lineage: Bacteria; Pseudomonadati; Bacteroidota; Flavobacteriia; Flavobacteriales; Flavobacteriaceae. The record is from RNAcentral.